RNAcentral lists this long non-coding RNA (597 nucleotides) under Ailuropoda melanoleuca (giant panda). RNAcentral's name for it is "lncRNA (ENSAMEG00000030205.1)". Lineage: Eukaryota; Metazoa; Chordata; Mammalia; Carnivora; Ursidae. The record is from RNAcentral.
AUUGUUACGACUGGCCUUCCGAGGCCAAAAACCACAGGGAGGGGAAGGGGUGACCCUUCCAACUGUCCUUCCCCGGCUCUUGGCCUGCAAGCUGCUGUCCUCAUCAGCCAGGCUCAGAAAUAGAUGUAAGAAAGAACAAUCGGAACCCAGAUCUUCACUGUUUCAAAGCUUUGCAACGAAGAGGAAUAUGAUUAAGGGGUAUGGCCAGAAGGAGAAAUAAAAUUCAUUUCCAGGAUCAGCAAACCUUUAAUUUCAGACUCAAGGAGAAACCAGUGAGGCUCAGGUGGCCGUCUGCGGGGCGUAACGUGUAUUUAUGGUCGAAGAUGUGAACAUGGAGAAAAGUGCAAAGAAGACACAGCAAGCUGAGGGGGCCCCACUGUGCUCACAGCCCACGCCUGAAAACUUGGGAUCAGCCCAGCCUUAGUACUUCCUGAAAAUUAACUUUGGGUUUUAAACAGUUCUUCAUGGCUUCAAUAAAUGAUAGGGGACCCACGUUAAUACUUACUCAGGUGGCUUGAAGUAUGGGUUUGUUCUGUAAUCAUCCAAACCGAUCUCUUGUGGACGUGUUUGUCAAGUGCUACAGUAAAAAUAACUGGC